This 355-nucleotide long non-coding RNA is filed under the name Cricetulus griseus (Chinese hamster). Its description in RNAcentral is "lncRNA (ENSCGRG00015033339.1)". Lineage: Eukaryota; Metazoa; Chordata; Mammalia; Rodentia; Cricetidae. The record is from RNAcentral.
GACUGAAAGAUCCCUUUCAGAUGUACUGCUCCAUCUGAAAGUCAAGGUUGGUGCCACCUAAGUGGGUUCCUGCAGCAAUGAAUUUGAGGACAUCCUCCUCCUUCAUCUGCAGGACAUCAAGGGGUCCAGACGUUGUGUGUCAAGUCUCCCCACCUGAAUGGCAGGCCUGUCAUUUUAUGCUACCGGCCUUUAGAAGUGAAACGCUGCAGCUGCAGACGAAACGCGUCUUCAGAGUGUAGUGAAGCCUUCCAGAAAACUAACAAAACUUCGCUAAAUUUCCUAUGAAGUGCGGCUCUCUGACAUAGGCCCUGAUUUAAAAACAAAAAGGCGUUUAAAAAUUGUUGAUGUGUUGUGG